Molecule: long non-coding RNA, 1087 nt
Organism: Rosa rugosa (rugosa rose)
Lineage: Eukaryota; Viridiplantae; Streptophyta; Magnoliopsida; Rosales; Rosaceae
Exons: 2
Source: RefSeq, a predicted model, not a curated record
GUCACGGGCAAAAUCUGAAGUCUUGGUGGAGAAUUAAUUGAAGGAAAAAUGAGUAGAAAGUGACUCAAACCUAACAAAUUCCAUUAGUGUUUAAAUAUUCAAACCUAACAAAUUCCAUUAGUGUUUAAAUAUUCAAACCUAAUAAAUUCCAUUAAUGUUUAAAUGCUCAAACCUAACAUAUCAUCAUUUGUUUAAAUCCAAAUAGUUUUGCUUGGUAGCCUAUAAAUAGAGGCUACAACAAAGAAGAAAGGACAUUCCUUCAUCCAUUCCAUCUUCUUUGUCUCUCCAUUUCCUUUCCAUUUUCCUUUCCAUCCUCUAGUUUCAAGUUUAGUCAUCUCCACGAGUUCAAGCAAGGCCAAAGAAGAAGAAGAGAAGCCGUGAGCACUUCCAUCCAUAGCCAUCCUUGAAGCUUGCUUUCGAGUUUCAAGAAUCCACAACGUGAAUCAUCCAUCUCAUCUUCAUCCACGGUGUGUACCCUCAAUCCCCGGAAUAGAACGAUCCCUAUUUGCUUAUACUACUAACGAUCUUUUCAGGGUUAAAUUAUGCGCUUGCUUUGAGCGUAUCAAUUUUUGGCGCCGUUGCCGGGGAUUGAAAAAUCACUUGUUUUUGUUUAUAAUUGUUGUAUAUAAACUGUUUGAUACUUAGUUUAAAUUAACUAGGUUGUUUUUUUUUUAUUGUUGAAUACGAAUUUAAUUGUAGGUUGUAAAUUAAAGAAGGAAUAGGUGAAGUCGUGUUUAUUAAUAUUGGCCUAAACCCCUUAUUGGUACCUAGUUCAGGUCCCUUAAGGUUGAGGGCGGCCUUUAUUAACAUUCAUUGAACUGUCUAACACACUUAGGACCUUUUACAUCCUAGUAAGAAUAUCCUAUGUGAGAUGGUGUCUAGGAAGGGGACAACGUUCAUGACGGGUUUUUGAAUCCAGAAGUGCUUAUAAAUGGGCUUAGCUCAUGCCAAAAUGGAUUUUUCCUCUCGUGUUCACCCUCCCCUACCUGGCCAUUUCAGUAAGGUUGCCCAACGGAUGUAGGAGGGACUUUGUGUCUAGACGACUAUACUUGGGCCGCACGUCCACUUGAUUUACCGCUUGGAAUUA